This 315-nucleotide ribosomal RNA is filed under the name uncultured bacterium. Its description in RNAcentral is "bacterial SSU rRNA". It matches the Rfam family "Bacterial small subunit ribosomal RNA", at positions 28 to 334 of the family's 1533-position model. The record is from RNAcentral.
GAUGAACGCUAGCGAUAGGCUUAACACAUGCAAGUCGAGGGGUAACAUGAUUGAAGCUUGCUUCAAUUGAUGACGACCGGCGCACGGGUGAGUAACACGUAUGCAACCUACCUUUUACAGAGGGAUAGCCCAGAGAAAUUUGGAUUAAUACCUCAUAAUAUUUUUAACUCGCAUGAGUUUUAAAUUAAAACUUCGGUGGUAAAAGAUGGGCAUGCGUUCUAUUAGUUUGUUGGUGAGGUAACGGCUUACCAAGACUACGAUAGAUAGGGGUUCUGAGAGGAUAGUCCCCCACACUGGUACUGAGACACGGACCAG